This 24-nucleotide non-coding RNA is filed under the name Drosophila melanogaster (fruit fly). Lineage: Eukaryota; Metazoa; Arthropoda; Insecta; Diptera; Drosophilidae. The record is from RNAcentral.
GCUUUCCCCUCUACCUCAAGCAAC